GACGAACGCUGGCGGCGUGCCUAAUACAUGCAAGUUGAGCGCUGAAGGUUGGUACUUGUACCGACUGGAUGAGCAGCGAACGGGUGAGUAACGCGUGGGGAAUCUGCCUUUGAGCGGGGGACAACAUUUGGAAACGAAUGCUAAUACCGCAUAAAAACUUUAAACACAAGUUUUAAGUUUGAAAGAUGCAAUUGCAUCACUCAAAGAUGAUCCCGCGUUGUAUUAGCUAGUUGGUGAGGUAAAGGCUCACCAAGGCGAUGAUACAUAGCCGACCUGAGAGGGUGAUCGGCCACAUUGGGACUGAGACACGGCCCAAACUCCUACGGGAGGCAGCAGUAGGGAAUCUUCGGCAAUGGACGAAAGUCUGACCGAGCAACGCCGCGUGAGUGAAGAAGGUUUUCGGAUCGUAAAACUCUGUUGGUAGAGAAGAACGUUGGUGAGAGUGGAAAGCUCAUCAAGUGACGGUAACUACCCAGAAAGGGACGGCUAACUACGUGCCAGCAGCCGCGGUAAUACGUAGGUCCCGAGCGUUGUCCGGAUUUAUUGGGCGUAAAGCGAGCGCAGGUGGUUUAUUAAGUCUGGUGUAAAAGGCAGUGGCUCAACCAUUGUAUGCAUUGGAAAACUGGUAGACUUGAGUGCAGGAGAGGAGAGUGGAAUUCCAUGU
Molecule: ribosomal RNA, 664 nt
Filed under: uncultured Lactococcus sp.
Lineage: Bacteria; Bacillati; Bacillota; Bacilli; Lactobacillales; Streptococcaceae
Description: bacterial SSU rRNA
Rfam family: Bacterial small subunit ribosomal RNA
Source: RNAcentral